Molecule: ribosomal RNA, 254 nt
Filed under: uncultured bacterium
Lineage: Bacteria
Description: partial 16S ribosomal RNA
Rfam family: Bacterial small subunit ribosomal RNA
Source: RNAcentral
UACGAAGGGGGCUAGCGUUGCUCGGAAUCACUGGGCGUAAAGCGCACGUAGGCGGAUCUUUAAGUCAGAGGUGAAAUCCCCGGGCUCAACCUGGGAACUGCAUUUGUGACUGUAGAGCUGGAGUGCGGCAGAGGGGGAUGGAAUUCCGCGUGUAGCAGUGAAAUGCGUAGAUAUGCGGAGGAACACCGAUGGCGAAGGCAAUCCCCCUGGGCCUGCACUGACGCUCAUGCACGAAAGCGUGGGGAGCAAACAGG